UAAAUACUCCCUCCGUCCGGAAAUACUUGUCCUAGAGAUGAAUGUAUCUAGACUAAUUUUAGUUAUAGAUACAUCCAUUAUAUCCAUUUCUAGGACAAGUAUUUCCGUACGGAGGGAGUAAUAA
Molecule: microRNA precursor, 124 nt
Filed under: Hordeum vulgare
Lineage: Eukaryota; Viridiplantae; Streptophyta; Magnoliopsida; Poales; Poaceae
Description: microRNA MIR1122
Rfam family: MIR1120/MIR1122 microRNA precursor family
Source: RNAcentral